Molecule: ribosomal RNA, 433 nt
Filed under: uncultured bacterium
Lineage: Bacteria
Description: partial 16S ribosomal RNA
Rfam family: Bacterial small subunit ribosomal RNA
Source: RNAcentral
AACGAACGCUGGCGGCAGGCCUAACACAUGCAAGUCGAGCGAGGACUUCGGUCCUAGCGGCGGACGGGUGAGUAACGCGUGGGAACGUGCCCUUUGCUUCGGAAUAGCCCUGGGAAACUGGGAGUAAUACCGGAUGAGCCCUUUGGGGGAAAGAUUUAUCGGCGAAGGAUCGGCCCGCGUUGGAUUAGGUAGUUGGUGGGGUAAUGGCCUACCAAGCCGACGAUCCAUAGCUGGUUUGAGAGGGUGAUCAGCCACACUGGGACUGAGACACGGCCCAGACUCCUACGGGAGGCAGCAGUGGGGAAUCUUAGACAAUGGGGGAAACCAUGAUCUAGCCAUGCCGCGUGAGCGAUGAAGGCCUUAGGGUUGUAAAGCUCUUUCAGCUGGGAAGAUAAUGACGGUACCAGCAGAAGAAGCCCCGGCUAACUCCGUG